This 253-nucleotide ribosomal RNA is filed under the name uncultured bacterium. RNAcentral describes it as "partial 16S ribosomal RNA". It matches the Rfam family "Bacterial small subunit ribosomal RNA", at positions 524 to 776 of the family's 1533-position model. The record is from RNAcentral.
UACGGAGGGGGCGAGCGUUAUUCGGAAUUAUUGGGCGUAAAGCGCGUGUAGGCGGCAUGGCAAGUCGGGUGUGAAAGCCCUCAGCUCAACUGAGGAAGUGCGCCCGAAACUGCUUUGCUUGAGUGCUGGAGAGGGUCGCGGAAUUCCCCAAGUAGAGGUGAAAUUCGUAGAUAUGGGGAGGAACACCGGUGGCGAAGGCGGCGACCUGGACAGUAACUGACGCUGAGACGCGAAAGCGUGGGUAGCAAACAGG